AGCAGUAGCCACGGUAAUACAGAGGGUGCGAGCGUUAAUCGGAUUUACUGGGCGUAAAGCGUGCGUAGGCGGCUUUUUAAGUCGGAUGUGAAAUCCCUGAGCUUAACUUAGGAAUUGCAUUCGAUACUGGGAAGCUAGAGUAUGGGAGAGGAUGGUAGAAUUCCAGGUGUAGCGGUGAAAUGCGUAGACAUCUGGAGGAAUACCGAUGGCGAAGGCAGCCAUCUGGCCUAAUACUGACGCUGAGGUACGAAAGCAUGGGGAGCAAACAGGAUUAGAUACCCCCGUAGUCCCUGUCUCUUAUAC
This 303-nucleotide ribosomal RNA is filed under the name uncultured bacterium. RNAcentral describes it as "partial 16S ribosomal RNA". It matches the Rfam family "Bacterial small subunit ribosomal RNA", at positions 507 to 807 of the family's 1533-position model. The record is from RNAcentral.